AAGAGAUUUUGCUUGAGAGAGAGAGAGAGUGCAAUCGAAAACCCUAGCAGAGAGAUUUUGCCAUGGAGGGAAGAAGAAGAUGAUUAGUCAUCUACUUUUGUUUCCUUUGGCGAUUGAUUCGUACGGGAACUUCGAAGUUAAAGGUCGGACAACUGUUGUCAGCAGCAGAGGUAUUUUAAUACCUCCAAGUACUAACAUUUCCUUUUUAUUUCUUGUUAGUGUCCGAAUGGAACAGCGGGACAAAUGCGGUUCUCCCGCCACAUGCAGUUCUCCCGCACUGCAUUCACCAUUCACUAUUUUCUUUUUGUAAAAGCAGUUCAAGCGGAGAUCUACAUGCAGUUCAAUAUUUGUUAUCUUUUUGUGGAAAAAGCAAUGCAGAUCUCAUCCGCUAACAUUUGGUGAUGUUGAUCUGCUUUUUUUUUGUCAAUAAAUAACUUUGUUACAACAUAUAACUUUAAAAUAUAUUUAUCUAAUCUUGUGAAUAUAAUAUUUUUACUUUAUUUUAUUUACAAUUUUAAUAAUACAAAAUUAUCAUUCUCUA
Raphanus sativus (radish) is the source of this 541-nucleotide long non-coding RNA. RefSeq lists it as uncharacterized. The record is from RefSeq and is a predicted model, not a curated record. The transcript is spliced from 2 exons. Lineage: Eukaryota; Viridiplantae; Streptophyta; Magnoliopsida; Brassicales; Brassicaceae.